CGCAUCUUGCGCUCCUUGGUAUUCCGAGGAGCAUGCCUGUUUGAGUGUCGUGAAGUACUCUCAAUUUCGAUCUUUUUUGAAAUUGGAUUUGGGUGUUGUUGUGUUUCACAACUCAUCCUAAAUGCAUUAGCGAUCUGCCUUUGAUCACACACAAUGUGAUAAGAAAAAGCAUUGUUAAGCAUCAAGUCAGGGUUGCUUCGAACCGUCCUUUUGGACACCAUUCUAUGUCAUUUGACCUCAGAUCAGGCAGGACUACCCGCUGAACUUAA
This 269-nucleotide unclassified non-coding RNA is filed under the name Geastrum sp. RNAcentral's name for it is "partial contains 5.8S ribosomal RNA, internal transcribed spacer 2, and large subunit ribosomal RNA". Lineage: Eukaryota; Fungi; Basidiomycota; Agaricomycetes; Geastrales; Geastraceae. The record is from RNAcentral.